UACGUAGGGUGCGAGCGUUAAUCGGGAUUACUGGGCGUAAAGCGUGCGCAGGCGGCUAUUUAAGCUUGCUGUGAAAGCCCCGGGCUCAACCUGGGAAUGGCGAUGGAUACUGGCUCGCUAGAGUGCGGUAGAGGAGAGUGGAAUUCCCGGUGUAGCAGUGAAAUGCGUAGAGAUCGGGAGGAACAUCAGUUGCGAAGGCGGCUCUCUGGACCAGCACUGACACUGAGGCACGAAAGCGUGGGGAGCAAACAGG
This 253-nucleotide ribosomal RNA is filed under the name uncultured bacterium. RNAcentral describes it as "partial 16S ribosomal RNA". It matches the Rfam family "Bacterial small subunit ribosomal RNA", at positions 524 to 776 of the family's 1533-position model. The record is from RNAcentral.